This 65-nucleotide transfer RNA is filed under the name Serratella sp. Yunnan-2018. Its description in RNAcentral is "tRNA-Leu". The record is from RNAcentral. RNAcentral also lists the same sequence under 1 other name. Lineage: Eukaryota; Metazoa; Arthropoda; Insecta; Ephemeroptera; Ephemerellidae.
UCUAACAUGGCAGAACAGUGCAAUAGAUUUAAGCUCUAUAUAGAAAGUUUAAACUUUUGUUAGAA